Molecule: ribosomal RNA, 465 nt
Filed under: uncultured bacterium
Lineage: Bacteria
Description: partial 16S ribosomal RNA
Rfam family: Bacterial small subunit ribosomal RNA
Source: RNAcentral
GACGAACGCUGGCGGCGUGCUUAACACAUGCAAGUCGAGCGGUAAGACCCCUUCGGGGGUCCACGAGCGGCGAACGGGUGAGUAACACGUGAGCAAUCUGCCCAUCACAUCGGGAUAACUCCGGGAAACCGAAGCUAAUACCGAAUACGACCACCUCCGGCAUCGGAUGGUGGUGGAAAGUUCCGGCGGUGAUGGAUGAGCUCGCGGCCUAUCAGCUUGUUGGUGGGGUAACGGCCCACCAAGGCUUCGACGGGUAGCCGGCCUGAGAGGGUGACCGGCCACACUGGGACUGAGACACGGCCCAGACUCCUACGGGAGGCAGCAGUGGGGAAUAUUGGACAAUGGGCGAAAGCCUGAUCCAGCAACGCCGCGUGAGGGAUGACGGCCUUCGGGUUGUAAACCUCUUUCAGCAGGGACGAAGCGCAAGUGACGGUACCUGCAGAAGAAGCACCGGCCAACUACGUG